This 497-nucleotide ribosomal RNA is filed under the name uncultured bacterium. RNAcentral's name for it is "partial 16S ribosomal RNA". It matches the Rfam family "Bacterial small subunit ribosomal RNA", at positions 28 to 507 of the family's 1533-position model. The record is from RNAcentral.
GAUGAACGCUGGCGGCGUGCCUAAUACAUGCAAGUCGAGCGAACAGACGAGGAGCUUGCUCCUCUGACGUUAGCGGCGGACGGGUGAGUAACACGUGGAUAACCUACCUAUAAGACUGGGAUAACUUCGGGAAACCGGAGCUAAUACCGGAUAAUAUAUUGAACCGCAUGGUUCAAUAGUGAAAGACGGUUUUGCUGUCACUUAUAGAUGGAUCCGCGCCGCAUUAGCUAGUUGGUAAGGUAACGGCUUACCAAGGCAACGAUGCGUAGCCGACCUGAGAGGGUGAUCGGCCACACUGGAACUGAGACACGGUCCAGACUCCUACGGGAGGCAGCAGUAGGGAAUCUUCCGCAAUGGGCGAAAGCCUGACGGAGCAACGCCGCGUGAGUGAUGAAGGUCUUCGGAUCGUAAAACUCUGUUAUUAGGGAAGAACAAAUGUGUAAGUAACUAUGCACGUCUUGACGGCACCUAAUCAGAAAGCCACGGCCAACUACGUG